Molecule: ribosomal RNA, 256 nt
Filed under: uncultured bacterium
Lineage: Bacteria
Description: partial 16S ribosomal RNA
Rfam family: Bacterial small subunit ribosomal RNA
Source: RNAcentral
UACGUAGGGCGCAAGCGUUGUCCGGAAUUAUUGGGCGUAAAGAGCUCGUAGGCGGUUUGUCGCGUCUGCUGUGAAAACCUAAGGCUCAACCUUGGGCUUGCAGUGGGUACGGGCAGACUAGAGUGCGGUAGGGGUGACUGGAAUUCCUGGUGUAGCGGUGGAAUGCGCAGAUAUCAGGAGGAACACCAAUGGGCGAAGGCAGAUCUCUGGGCCGUAACUGACGCUGGAGGAGCGAAAGCCAUGGGGAGCGAACAGG